This 72-nucleotide transfer RNA is filed under the name Pyricularia oryzae 70-15. RNAcentral describes it as "tRNA-Arg (ACG) (tRNA-Arg-ACG-1-1, tRNA-Arg-ACG-1-2)". It matches the Rfam family "tRNA". From Rfam's summary of the family: Transfer RNA (tRNA) molecules are approximately 80 nucleotides in length. The record is from RNAcentral. Lineage: Eukaryota; Fungi; Ascomycota; Sordariomycetes; Magnaporthales; Pyriculariaceae. RNAcentral also lists the same sequence under 4 other names.
GGUCCGGUGGCUCAAUGGUAGAGCGUCUGACUACGAAUCAGGAGGUUGCAGGUUCGAGACCUGCCCGGAUCG